UGGAGAUCUGCUCUGUUAGAGUUUUGUGAGCGAGCCCAGGAUAGGGUUUCCUUGCAGGAAGAGAAUAAAGAAAAGUCUGCUUUCACACAGGAGGGGAUAUGAUAUACCUUUAGCUGAUUCCCACAGGGGUGUACAUAUUCUCCCACUAUUGCUCAAGCCACCUCAGUGACCUUUGACAGAGUUUCACUGCCUUAGGAUGUGUAUCCAUGUGUAGAUGAUAUUUAAUUGCAAGCUCAUACUCUGGAAAGGUGGGGGAAGUGGCAGCAGCACUAGAUGACUGAGAAUUUGAGAUUCCACCUGCAAACUGUCAGGGGCUAAGUAAAGGAGUGAAACUUUAAGGCAGCAAAGGCCAGCAAAAUUGUGCAAACUUGACUGAACCAAAGCAGAGAUAUGGGAAACCAGUGUGAACAGAAGCAAAGCUGUGCAAAAUCUUACAAAACCACGUGAACUUCAUGGAAUCUCAGUGAAGACCAGUGAUCCUGCAAAGUCUUCAGUGAACCAGGGCGGACUUCUGCAAAGCCCAGUGAAGAUCCACAAGCCUGUACAAAAAUACCGUGAAUCCGCAUGGACAGUACAAGGAACCCAAGUGAAAACCCACAACAUCGUGCGUCCUUUGCUUUAUUCAGGUUUGUUAUCUGGCAAUGCAGCCCAGCUGGAUAAGGCUCUUGUAGACUGGUAGUAUUUUCUUCAGGAACACUGAAAUCUGAAUCAGUGGGACAUCGUCCAUGAUCUAUUAUCCAACUCUUACCUUCUCCUCCCCUGGUUUCUCAUUGCCUGAGCACUUCAGGUUCACAGAAGAUGAAAAUGAAAAGAAAAAAGGAAAAGGAAAAUGGAGGAAAAAAAAAAAAAAAAAAAGAAAA
Molecule: long non-coding RNA, 860 nt
Organism: Lagopus muta (rock ptarmigan)
Lineage: Eukaryota; Metazoa; Chordata; Aves; Galliformes; Phasianidae
Exons: 2
Source: RefSeq, a predicted model, not a curated record